AGCGGUUCAAGCAGAAGCGGAAGUGAUCGCAGAUGGAUGAGUUUACGGAUCACGAAGUUUCGAGUGUAAAUAAGAGAAUUAACAGCAGCGAAAGAGUCACUGCAAGGAAAAUAAAAAGGAAACAACGCAAACGUCAGUGCAAGAGCAAAGAGCUACCUCCCAAAAUGCUAUCUGUUUUCAAUCAACUGGAAAAAGAAUUGGUUGCACUCUAUCUGAGAGAUUUCCCUCAAACCCAGAAGCGCGUGCAGAGAGUGUGUCUUAUCAUCGGGACAUUUGAAGAAGAUUUCAGACGUGCUACUGGAGUCAUUACACACGCAUUAAAUGCAGAAGUGGCUGGAGGGUUGAUGAUGGGUUUGGGGUUAGUUUUAGCUCCAGUUCAUCAGGGCAUUUCUGCUCUUAUCGCAGGAGCGGGAGCAGCUGUGGUUUCAGGCGCUGCACUCUGUGAUACAAUCUGGAACAAGAAGAUCGUGAGCCUGCAGGCAAAAAUAAUACAAGACACUGAAGCUGAACUGAGCGAAUUUCAGCAUAAAAUCAGCCCUAUGCUGGACAAGAUGAAUGAGAUCAGUCAGCACGUUUAUGAAAUAUUGAGAGACCUCAGUUACCCAGGGCGUGAUGUUGGGUAUUUAAGUCAAUAUUUUUCAUCUGCCAGUGAAUUAGUGCGUUUCAUACAGAUAUAUGACAUUAGUGUGUUGGCUGCGCAGAUAAAUUCUCAGACAUCAUGUUUGCUCGGAGCUCGAUUUAUCAGAGUUAUGCCAGCUAGAAUGGCACUCCAGCAGAUGUGGAUAGAAAUGGUUCAGAUACAGAAUGCCAUGGAUGAAAUUACUAAAACAAUAGAAAGAAUAGCAAAUCAGCCCGACUAAAUAUAAUAAUAUGAAGGGCUAAACGAAACAAGAAAGCUCUUUGACUAUUACUGGGAUAUAGAGACUAUAGAAUUUAAUGUCUAUUUGUUGGUAUACAUUUACGUGUAAGAUUACAAACACUGCUCUUGCUCUGCAUUGUCGAUCAAGUAGUUGGGGACACUAGAUAUUCAAAAAUGUUUUUUUUUUUUUUUUUAUGCCCGCAUUGACACCAAUUGUAUGCGAACUUAACUGAGCUGGACGAUGACAUCACUCUCUUCUCCAGUGCUGAUACAUAGAUAAAUAACUAUUGAUUUCUACAACGGAAUUAAUCAAUACUGAAUCUAUUUAAGCUGGACAAUGGCACAAUUUUCUUCUAGAGCUGCUGUGCAGUUAUCUCUGUAAAGCUGCUUUGACGAUCUGCAUCGCUGUAAUAAAGGUGACUUGACAUUAUGCA
This is a long non-coding RNA of Cyprinus carpio (common carp), 1293 nucleotides long. Lineage: Eukaryota; Metazoa; Chordata; Actinopteri; Cypriniformes; Cyprinidae. The record is from Ensembl.